GUUUGGAUUGGCCACAAAUGGUAUACAUUUUACAGGAGUCAAGAGUGAUGACCAGGGCGAUGGCAGAGAUCCGGUCAGCUCUGAAGUGCUGUCUCCUCCGCCCACAAGACCCCACCUUGCCUAAGUUCUCCAGGCCAGCAGAAGUCAUUAUCUCCCUUGCCAGAGAGUUCAGCACGUGCUCCCCCAGCACUGAGCAGCCAAGGGGCAGAAGGAGUGGGGGAGGGGGAGUGGAGAAGGCGGCGGUUCAGGGUGCAGAUGUCGUCACGGUCACCAUGUGGCAGCAACGGCCAUUUCGUGGCUAAGAAAGAGCCCCGGUGCCUGGCAACAAAGAGUACCCCUGGCUCAGGCUCUCUACACAUUAAUUCCACAGGGGCUGAACCUGGGACAUCCGAGCACCGCGGCCUCCUUCGCCCUUCGAUUGUUUUGCUGGUACUUGCCGGAUGUUGCUUUGACUGAGGUCUGGCAGAGCCCCCAGGGCAUCUUAUAAGCCACUCCUCACCUGAUCAGACCCACUGGGCCAGGACCUCAGGAUGCUUCCCAAGGCUGGAUCUCCUAUCUCUACCAGUGGGACAACUGACUGGAACCUGGAAUUCAGUGCCGUCCUUCACACCAUCAGGAGGAGAAUGAUCUAUGAUUGGCUGGUGAGCACAUGCGUGUGAGAUCAAGGCUUGAAUACAUGAGUGCUGUGGUGGUUCAAAUAUGCUUGGCCCAGGGGAAGUGGCACUAUUAGGAGGUGUGGCCUUGUUGGAGUAGGUAUGGCCUUGUAGGAGGGAGUUCAUCACUGUGGGGGUGGGCUUUGAGGUCCUAUGCUCAAGCAAUGCAGAAUAUGGAAAAGAACCUCCUCCUGGCUGAUUUCAGGUCAAGAUGUAGAACUCUCAGCUCCUUCUCCAGCACCAAGUCUGCCUGGACACUGCCAUGCUUCCUGCCAUGAUGAUAAAGGACUGAACCUCUGACACUGUAAGCCAGCCCCGAUUAAAUGUUGUCCUUCAUAAGAGUUGUUUCAGCCAUGGUGUCUCUUCACAGCAAUGAAAACCUGUGCUGCCUAUGCUCAGAUAUGGUAGGACACCCUACAGGAAGGAAAUGUAACCAGGUUUAUACAUGUUUAGUGGAGGGCAGCAGCUCAGACCACAGGCUUAGGAGUUAGACUGCUAGGAUGGGCGGGCCACUCUGCAGCUGGUUAACUUUGGUUAAUGGACCUAAUCUGAUUUUGCCUCAUUUUUUUUGCCAUUAAAUUCAUGAUAAUAAUACAUUUUUCAGAGUAUUGUUGUAAGGACAGUGCUAACAACAAACUGGUUAAGUACACAAACUAUGUGACUGCCUUACCAGCUAGUUAACUCUGGUUCUGGAAGCAAAGGUACCACUCUUAUAGCUACUCUCACUCUUAAGGCUCUGGGAGAGAGGGACUUGGGGGUAGGACUAAGCGUAUCGUCUAUCCUGGAUGAGAUGGUGGGGCAGGAAUGAACGGGGUGACUCUAACAAAGAGAUGGCCUUAGUUAAAAAUUUUCUUAAACUGAAGAAAUGUGAAGUCUGAUAUAUCAUGUCCCAUAUGUGUAACGAGUUUAAUCUCUUCUCUUCUUUCAUUUUCCUCCCUUCCCCUCCUUCCCUCUUCCUUUUCCUCUGUCUUCCACUUCCUCUCCUCUCCUUGCCUCAUUUCCUUUCUUCUUCCAGCCUCCAUCAAAAGAAAACCAGGAAAAUGUUUAAGCUGUCCUUGAGUUUGUUUAUAUUGGUAUAUUCUUAUAUUUAAAUUUACAUUUUACUUUGACAGCUUUAAAACUAUAAAUGAUCUUUUUAGACAGUAACAAAUUUCUACUACAGAAAAUGGGUGAGGACCGACAUUGAUUUCUCAUUAAAGCAGCCAUGAAUAGUGUAUAGUGGCAUAGAAGGAGUUAAUUCUGAGGUACAUUAUUUGAUUCAGAAAAUGGCUUAAAAUUUCAUGGUAUGUCAACCAUGGUAUUUAGUACACUAUCAACACUAUCUAAGUCCUCUAUGAAGACAGACAAGUUAAAUUUCAAAUGAGAAUGAGUUUUACAUACAUCAUCAACUGAGAUGCAGUCUCUGUACUUGUUUCCUUGGAAACGUAACUAAAAUAUUUAAAUGCUAAACUUACCUUGAUUCAGUAAGACAGAGAUACAAAAACAGAGUAAUACUAGCUAUCCUGGAUCAUUUUCUCCAGGAGAAAUAUGGAUGCUGUGUCCCCAAUUUCCUUGGUAAUUGUGGGCUCCUGUGGAAUAAGCAGGGGAGAGAGGGGAGUGUGGAUUUAGAUGUGGGAGGAACAUCAGAACCUUAAUUUUAAGAUAAGGUGUUCAUGUGCAACUUGGAAUGCCCCCAGAGAUGUGGCACUCUUACCUCCAGACCAGAGAGAUGGGAUUAUGUAUCUGCAGCAUUACGUCUAAACUUUUUGAAAUGACUUAAUUGCAGUGGUUCAUAUUGGCAUGCUACUCAGAGUUAUAGAAGAGAAACAGCUAGGCAAGCAGUGCUUGUCCCUAAAGGAGCAUGGCUUAGCUUUCCUAUUGAUGGCUUUGAUAGGUAAUAUAUAUACAUAGAAGAUCAAAACAAACAACAACCAAACAAACAAAAAGUAACAAACAGGACCUGAUACCUGUGCCUUUCCCUGGUCUUGUAACAACCCAUCUUUUGCCUAUGCUGUAGUGCUUACUUUUGCUUGUCAAUAACAGGAUGUAUACAGAAGCAAGUUGUAUUCAUGUGUUUCUCUGUUGCCAUGAUAAAACACUGACCACAAGCAAUGGGAGAAGGAGAGCUUUUAUUUGGUUACAGGUGACACUUCAUCCACCACAGAAACCAAGGCGGGAGUCUGGAGGUGGGAGCUGAAGCAAAGGCAGGAUUGGUGCUUGAUGUCUUGCUCCACAUGGCUUGCUUCAGUUGGUACUCUCUAUUUUGAAAAUCAAUUUUAUUUUCAAUUAAAAUAUACUUAUAUCCUUUAUCCUAGUUUCUCUCCAACCUUUCUCUCCACUCACAAAUUCAUGUCCCCUUUUAUUUUAUUAUUGCUGUAUACACACAUGCACAAAUACAUGCAUGCACACAUGCAUCACACACAUAUAUUUAUAUAGUAAUGUGAGAAAAAGUAUUUACAUAAAUCUGGCUGGGUUCAUUUAGUGCUGCUUGUAUGUAUAUGUUUUCAGAGUUAACCCAGAAGCACUGGAUAUUGAAUAAUUAGUUCAUUAAACUAAUUCUUGGUUUGAUUGAUUGGCUAUAGUCCUUGAAUGGCUAUAGUUUUUCAUCUAGCCCUCUUAUAUAACCCAGGAACAACCUGCCAAGGGUUAGUAUUGCUCAAUGCACCAUGCUUUCCCACAUGAGUUAUCAAGGAAAUGCUCACACAGAUUUUCCCAUAGGCUAAUCUGAUGGAGGCAGUUCCUCAAUCGAGGUUCCCUCUCAAGGUAUGAGACUAACCUGUGCUAAACUGAAAAUGAACUACAAAACCUUGAGUAAAUGGUGAACAAGAAAGGAAAUUUAAUUAGCUUUUCACCAGUUCAGGGAUGGAAGGCUUACCUGGGCUCAUAGGGUUCUAAGGUCUAUUCUGACCUGGGACCUCAAUUACAACUCUUGACUUUGAAAUGGACCAGGACGCAGAGAUCCAUACAGGAACUAGGCGUGGAUAGUGUACUCCCAACAUACAUUCCCCGGGGUGUACAUUCUCCCCCUAGCUUCUAUUUCCUAAUGUUGUGAGAAGCUCCUAAAAUAGUGUCACUGUUUCAUGACUAAGCAUGCACUACCCAGAUAGAUCCUACUGGUAACAUCACACAUUCAAAGGGACAGGGUUUUAAAUCCCGGAGGGGAAACUGGCACUCCUUCAUCACGUCUACAAGCAACACACUGACUUCCAAUAGCUGUGCAUUUUAAUAGCAACACAGGAAGACACGUCUGAACCUGACCUUGGAAGAAAAACAUAAAAUUUGAUCCAAGAACACUGUCAUAGACAAAAGGUAAGUGACCCUGAGCACAAAGCGGUUCAGGGAUUCCCCCGCCUGAUUCACAAAACGCUCUCAGUAGCUGGCCUCCUUCAGGAAGGGCUGGUUCAUCAGAGUGAGCUCAUCCUAUCUGCUUCUAGUCUGCCCUGGAAUAACCCAUCCCCUCCACCUUCUGUCUCACAGGUGUCCCACCAGAAGCUUCAGGGAGUAUCUCAAGGGUAUCUGGCAUUUGUUGUGCCAUCAAGGCAGGCAGACAAUACUCUUUUUCUUUUUCAUAGGCCUGUUAUCACCAGGUCCCAGUGCACAUCCAAAUGAAUAAGUACCAGAGUAAGUUCCUUUGCAAAGCGUUUUACUGCCUGGGUAAAACUGGCUCGCCACACUCUUGUUGCAUUAGCAUCUCUCCCAGGUUUCCCUUUGUCUCCUGCCAGUUUGGGCUUACCUGGAGCCACCACACUUUAAUUUUGUGUAAAAGAAGGCUUUAAACAUGUGACUUGUUGGGCAUCCUGAUUAUUAUGACUUUCUAUGAGAAGACUCAUGUGGGAAUUGUUGAACUCCUGCGUAAGCCACUGGGCAUCCUUUAGCAUCUGCGUGUCUCCUCAAGUCAUUUGAGUUUGAAGGCAGGUAGAAGCUCUCACCUUGUGGCCCAUGGCAUCCUGAGCUUCUGACUUUCUUUCCGUGUGUGCUGUGACAUUUUGUCCUCUGCAAAUCUCUUGGUCCUUGGUCUCAAGUAGUGGUACUGAGAAGUUGUUGGGGAGGCCAUUGCCGACACUGUCUAUGUAGAUUGUCCCCGUGCUUUCCUACAAAGAUAGGCUGUGGCCGGGGUUCCCUUUUGUCAUUUUCAUGGUUUGUCUUCACUAUCUUCUCAGAAUAAGAAUUGUUCUCUUCUGAAUUCCUGGUUUCACUUUGACUGCUUUGUCUUGUAUUCCCUGACAGUCCUGGCAGAUUGUUUUGUCUUGAAUGGUGUUGUUUCUGACCCAUGAAGCUGCCACACAGCCUUUGAUAUUUCUGUCAGUAUCUACUAGGAGUUUUUAUUUAUUUAUUUAUUUAUUAUUUACUUUUUUGAGAUCUGUGGUGGUCAGGGUCCACAUGAUCACCAGUUUGAUCAAUCUUAAUAAGUUCUCCUGGAGUGUGACUGAAGACCCUCCCUUGUGUUGUGGUAGAGGCACUUGUGACCCUUCCCACCAUGCACAAAUGUCACCUCAUUGCAGCAUCUUCCUGAGGGGCUCACCAUGCUCUUGUUGUUCUUGUUGUUUGCCUCUCUCUCUCGGGUUUACACGUCUCCUGCCAGGCACUUUGCAACCAAGAUCUAUUUCACCUUGUUCCUGUUUCACCAUCUUCCAACGCCUAGCUGGCUUUUCAGGCUGCACAUAGGUUUCUCUCUCAUCUUGGCAUUUCACUUUCCCUGAAUUUUUUGGCUCAGGGGUUCAUGCUGCUGGGGUAACUGCCAUACAGAGUGACUACUUGGGUUGUCUCUGCUCAUAUGCCUGGCGGACUCCUCUGGAACAGCCUUCUGAUUUCAUAUCCAAAAGAAGGUCAACUGGAAUCUUGGUUGGUGUUCUUGUGUUAUUAUCCUAAGAUAAGCCAAAGGAUCUCUUAUUCACACUAGACGUGGUGAUUCAAGGUCAAAGUCAGAAACCACUCAGAUUUCUUCCUCAUCAGGGGAGUUUGCUCUUGACCUUAGGUUCAGUCAGAUCCUGAAGCCAGAUGGAGACGACAUAUCAGUGAGGACUUGUACCACAGUGAAUUCAUCAAUCGAACCUUGUCUUCAUGGUGGAAGUCGACCUCCAUGGAGUUCAGGUAUUAAUCUUUCUGUUGGGGAAGAAAUGGGGCUCCAGAGCACAAGGAACCUCUCUAGACCCCCCAAAAUGUGGGACACGCUUAUUUUUUAAGCUAGUAUUCUGAAAGAUACCACAGCUUGGCAUUGCGCCCAGUUGCAAAGGAAGCCAGACUCCUGCCUGCCUCAGCUGAUGUCCUGACUAUGGGCUUUCAGGUUUCUUAUCUGGUUUUGAUGCAGUUUGAUGCAUCAUGACAACAUUCUAUGAAGCCAUUCCCACUAUCAUCCAAAACAAGGGACUUCAAGUUUUGUUUCCAUAUGUGGAGGGAAUGUUGGUCUCCUCCUGUUCUAAAGGCUGAAGCAAACCCACAGUCUAUCAGAACUCAAGGGGAGAGACAUGUAGAUCUGUCUCAAGGACAGUAUAAACGAUUGCAGAGAACAGCAGAUACAGGAUAUCUGGGUUUUCUCAGCUGUAAAGAGUAAAAGAUACCUAGGCAUCAGGGGAGGAAUUGAUACUCACAUCCCUUCCCCGUUGCUGAAAAGAAAAUUAUCACAAGUUAUACAUUUUUUCUUUUCAGUUUUUCUUUUUAUUGAAAAAUAGACUCUUUUUUGUGAUCUUAAAAUAAUGAUUGUUGCAAAAGAUUUCACUAUCUCAGCUAUUCGUAGAUAGUUCCCAACAUUAAGCAGAAGCAGGCUCACCACUAAGGUCUGCUUUUGCAUGACACACUUGCUUGCUUGGGUGGCUGAGGCACCUGCUACUCAGCUGUUAUAAAGUCAACCCUUGUUCAUACCCAGAUAGCAUAGGAGUGAAUGUAACUCCCCAAAAUUAUAACUCUGUGAAUUUUGUCUUAAUAAUCCUUGAGCUAACAACUUCAGGGGCCUUAUUUGGAAUAUUUUCUGAUUUGGUCCCAGCCAGUCUCUUUUUCAUAAAAUGUCUCUAAUUUACUAAAACCAAUACUUGAGUCAGACUGGUAACUCUGGAACGUACCCCAGACCAUCAACAUUUGGAAUUGCCAGUGAGAUCUGGGCAUUGGCACAGAAGUUGCCAGGUUUUGUCUGACCAGCCUUGGUUCCCCAUGCACUCUUGGCCUAAGGGUCGAGAAACUGGAGAGACGAAGUCCUUGUAGGAGUUACAGGGAUGUGCCCAACACCUAGCCUUUUACAUCUCCACAGAGUUUAGGUACUGCUUUUCCUGUUGAGGAUCUCUAAAGAGGUUAAAAAGCCUCUUUGAGGGCUUCCGAUCUGGGGGCUGAAACUUCGAUUGGAGAGGCCCAGUCCUUUGGGAAGUGACUGGUGAGUUAGUUCCCCGCCUUAGGGCAAAGGAAUCUGAGAGGCUCAGUGUUUAGGGGAUCCAUUGAGAGAUUUUUUUUUUCAACUCCAAAACUUGUGAAAAGAUGCAUCCAAAAGCCUCUGGAGCUAUAGGUAAGGAUUUUGUCUCCAGUAGCACUCAGUAAUGAGACUUGCAGCAAGCUGGGUGCUGUGUUCCUAGUGACCUCUAGGAUGCUGUGGACACGGGGUCUUCCAUACCCAAUUCUGAAGGAAAAGCGAGGCACCAAGUCCCAGGGCACUGCCUGCUGUUUUUCCAUUCUGUUUGUUGUCACUUAUUAUUUAUUUAUUUAUUUAUUUAUUUUAAAUCUAAAGUUGUGGGUCAAAAGUCUUCCAUUCAUGACAGCCUGUGAAGCUGAUGGAGGCUCGUUUUAAGGACUUCCAAAGAAAUGCUCAGGAGAGUGGAGAACAGUUCUAUGUCAGGAAACUAUUUGCUUUUCUCUUCCUUGAUGGAUCUUUAUUCCAGGUGGUCUGGCUAGCCGAAGUCUUCUUUAAAUGUUCUUUUCUUUCCAGGGUGCAUCAUAUAAUGCAGUUUUUAGUAAACCAGGGCAUCUAGACAUACUUUCCUUCCCUCUGGCCUGGACAUUCCUGGUAGAGGAGUCCCCUCCCUUGAUAAGAAAGUAGCAGCCAAAUUCUGUCCUCCUAAUGCCAGCAUUUUCAUUUCAGAAGAAACAAAUGAAACCAAGGGUCAGGACAAAAUCUGGCCCCAAGCCUCAUCAGCCCAGCUAGAUGCAGAAGAAGUGCUGCCGCCCUGUGUGCGAGCUCUGGAGGUCAGAAAGUGGAACUGGCCACUGGUGAUACUCCCUAGCCUGGCUCACUUCUCCCAGCCCUUGGGUCAGUCAUCUUAUGCAUGCCGGUCACUGAUUAGAUGGGAAAAUUUCCCUCUGGAGACAACGAGGAGGCCUGGUCACACUGGAGCAGGUUUCCCCAUUGGCCCCAGUCACCUGGUCAUUUGCUUAUAUUUGCUCUUGCCCCCAGUCUCCUUCCAAUUUUCUCUCAGAAGCCUCAUCCCCAUCCUCGCUCACAGAAGGAGUGAUAGAGUUCCCCAGGACUUCCUCUUCAGAGGUCCAGUCCACCAACCAUGGAGCUGACCCGGAGCUGAUAGCAGCAGGACCUGUUUCACUUGAUGCUCCCCCGACAUCUCUUGAUAUAGGUGUUUUCUCCUCAAGAGAGGCUCUCUUGUGUGGAUAAAGCCCAGUGGGAGAAGGAUGACAUGGGAUGGGGGAAACUUGGUAGCUGUUUAUGAUAUAUGUUUCUUUCUCUACUAGUGAUCUAUAUAAUUGGAAAGACCAAAUUCUCCCUGCCUUGGGAGAGCCUCAAUGGUUUAUUUAUUUAUUUUUUAAAUGAAAAUUAAUGUUUUACAAACACAAGCCUACUUGGGCAGCCUGUUGGCAGCUAUGUCAUUCCCCCAUCCCCCAACAAACAAGAGGAACAGAGUUCAAUGGGAACCCCAGAAACAAGUCCUGGGAAGUGAUAGAAGAUCAACCAAUGACUUGCGGUCAUUUAAGAUGUUUUCCCUGCCAAACAGCAGGGUUGGGACCUAAAUUCUGGUGAAGGUAGGGCGUCUUUCAAUCACUUCGCCAGACUCUGUUAGGGGGAUUUUAGGUAAUAGCCAGAAAGUCUACAAAUUUCUCUAAAGUAAACCAGAUAACUUUGGGUUCAGAAGGGUCACUAUAUGAUUUCCUGUAGCGCCCCCUAGAGGCCUAUGGGUCUUACACCCAGAUUGACCUA
RNAcentral lists this long non-coding RNA (8757 nucleotides) under Mus musculus (house mouse). Its description in RNAcentral is "predicted gene, 30132". Lineage: Eukaryota; Metazoa; Chordata; Mammalia; Rodentia; Muridae. The record is from RNAcentral.